This 63-nucleotide transfer RNA is filed under the name Gastrolina thoracica. Its description in RNAcentral is "tRNA-Pro". Lineage: Eukaryota; Metazoa; Arthropoda; Insecta; Coleoptera; Chrysomelidae. The record is from RNAcentral.
CAGAUAUUAGUUUAUUAAAAUAUUAAUUUUGGAGAUUAAAGAUAAAUUUAUUUUUAUAUCUGA